Molecule: transfer RNA, 85 nt
Filed under: Planctomycetaceae bacterium
Lineage: Bacteria; Pseudomonadati; Planctomycetota; Planctomycetia; Planctomycetales; Planctomycetaceae
Description: tRNA-Leu
Rfam family: tRNA
About the family: Transfer RNA (tRNA) molecules are approximately 80 nucleotides in length. Their secondary structure includes four short double-helical elements and three loops (D, anti-codon, and T loops). Further hydrogen bonds mediate the characteristic L-shaped molecular structure. tRNAs have two regions of fundamental functional importance: the anti-codon, which is responsible for specific mRNA codon recognition, and the 3' end, to which the tRNAs corresponding amino acid is attached (by aminoacyl-tRNA synthetases). tRNAs cope with the degeneracy of the genetic code in two manners: having more than one tRNA (with a specific anti-codon) for a particular amino acid; and 'wobble' base-pairing, i.e. permitting non-standard base-pairing at the 3rd anti-codon position.
Source: RNAcentral
GGGCUCGUGGUGGAACUAGCAGACACGCUCGCCUCAGAAGCGGGUGCCCACCGGCGUGCAGGUGCAACUCCUGCCGGGCCCACCA